RNAcentral lists this ribosomal RNA (2042 nucleotides) under human gut metagenome. Its description in RNAcentral is "bacterial LSU rRNA". It matches the Rfam family "Bacterial large subunit ribosomal RNA", at positions 14 to 2091 of the family's 2925-position model. The record is from RNAcentral.
AGAGCGCAGGGUGGAUGCCUUGGCACUAAGAGCCGAAGAAAGACGUGAUAAGCUGCGAUAAGCUACGGUGAGGAGCAAAUAUCCAUUGACCCGUAGAUUUCUGAAUGGGGAAACCCGGCAGGAGAAACUCCUGUCACUGUAUGGUGAAUACAUAGCCAUAUAGAGGGAACCCGGUGAACUGAAACAUCUAAGUAGCCGGAGGAAGAGAAAACAACAGUGAUUUCCUAAGUAGCGGCGAGCGAACGGGAAAGAGCCCAAACCGGAUUGCGUGCAAUCCGGGGUUCGGACUGCAAACGUCAUUGUAAGAGGAUAACAGAAUGGUUUUGGGAAAGCCAGCCAGAGAGGGUGAAAGCCCCGUACGUGAAAUCUGAUUACAGGCAGCAGGAUCCAGAGUACCACGAGACACGUGGAACCUUGUGGGAACAAGCGGGGACCACCCCGUAAGGCUAAAUACUCCUUAGUGACCGAUAGCGCAUAGUACUGUGAAGGAAAGGUGAAAAGAACCCCGGGAGGGGAGUGAAAGAGAACCUGAAACCCUGUGUUUACAAGCUGUGGAACCACCAUAUGAGUGGAACCGCGUACUUUUUGUAGAACGGUCCGGCGAGUUAUGGUUGCUGGCAAGGUUAAGGACGAAAAGUCCGGAGCCGAAGGGAAACCGAGUCUUAAUAGGGCGCCAAGUCAGCAGACAUAGACCCGAAACCGGGUGACCUACCCAUGUCCAGGUUGAAGCCGCUGUAAAAGGCGGUGGAGGACCGAACGCACAUCUGUUGAAAAAGGUGGCGAUGAGGUGUGGGUAGCGGAGAAAUUCCAAUCGAACUCGGAGAUAGCUGGUUCUCCCCGAAAUAGCUUUAGGGCUAGCCUUGAGUUAGACAUAUGGAGGUAGAGCACUGAAUGGCCGCGGGGGCGUCAAAGCUUACCAAAGCCUAUCAAACUCCGAAUGCCAUGUUGCCGAUGCUCAGGAGUCAGACUGCACGAGAUAAGUUGGGUAGUCGAGAGGGAAACAGCCCAGACCUACAGCUAAGGUCCCAAAGUACAUGUUAAGUGGAAAAGGAUGUGGGACUUCGAAGACAACUAGGAUGUUGGCUCAGAAGCAGCCAUACAUUCAAAGAGUGCGUAAUAGCUCACUAGUCGAGAGGUCCUGCGCCGAAAAUGUCCGGGGCUAAAACACACCACCGAAGCUAUGGAAUGUGAAAACAUUGGUAGAGGAGCAUUCUUAACGUGACGAAGCUGUACCGGAAGGAGCAGUGGAGUGUUAAGAAGAGAGAAUGCCGGAAUGAGUAGCGAGAUUUAAGUGAGAAUCUUAAAGGCCGAAUAUCUAAGGUUUCCAGGGUAAAGCUGAUCUUCCCUGGGUAAGUCGGGGCCUAAGGCGAGGACGAAAGUCGUAGUCGAUGGAUAACAGGUAGAAAUUCCUGUACCACAUACAAACAGAACUGUGGGGACGCAGAGAGAAAGCCAGAGCCGGAAAUGGAAAAGCCGGUGCAAGCGAGGUAUCCGUAAGGGAGGCAAAUCCCCCUUGCAAGGAGAAGACGUAAUGCGGAGUGAACUAUAAGUAACGAAGCUGGUGAGCUAGCUGCCAAGAAAAGCCGCUAUUGUUUUGUAUGUGCCCGUACCGUAAACCGACACAGGUGGAUGAGGAGAGAAUCCUAAGGCCGGCGGGAGAAGUGUUGUUAAGGAACUCGGCAAAAUGACUCCGUAACUUCGGGAGAAGGAGUGCCACAGAGAUGUGGCCGCAGAGAAAUGGCCCAAGCAACUGUUUAGCAAAAACACAGGUCUAUGCAAAACCGAAAGGUGAGGUAUAUGGGCUGACGCCUGCCCGGUGCUGGAAGGUUAAGGGGAGAGGUUAGCGCAAGCGAAGCUUUGAACUUAAGCCCCAGUAAACGGCGGCCGUAACUAUAACGGUCCUAAGGUAGCGAAAUUCCUUGUCGGGUAAGUUCCGACCCGCACGAAAGGCGUAAUGAUUUGGGCACUGUCUCGACAAUGCACCCGGUGAAAUUGAAAUACCAGUGAAGAUGCUGGUUACCUGCGCCAGGACGGAAAGACCC